RNAcentral lists this ribosomal RNA (460 nucleotides) under uncultured bacterium. RNAcentral describes it as "partial 16S ribosomal RNA". It matches the Rfam family "Bacterial small subunit ribosomal RNA", at positions 338 to 795 of the family's 1533-position model. The record is from RNAcentral.
CCUACGGGUGGCAGCAGUGAGGAAUAUUGGUCAAUGGGCGCGAGCCUGAACCAGCCAAGUAGCGUGAACGAUGACUGCCCUACGGGUUGUAAACUUCUUUUAUAAAGGAAUUAAGUGAGGCACGUGUGCCUUUUUGUAUGUACUUUAUGAAUAAGGAUCGGCUAACUCCAUGCCAGCAGCAGCGGUAAUACGGAGGAUCCGAGCGUUAUCCGGAUUUAUUGGGUUUAAAGGGAGCGUAGAUGGGUUGUUAAGUCAGUUGUUAAAGUGUGAGGGGCAACCGGAAGAUUGCAAUUGAUACUGGCAGUCUUGAGUACAGUUGAGGUAGGCGGAAUUCGUGGUGUAGCGGUGAAAUGCGUAGAUAUCACGAAGAACUCCGAUUGCGAAGGCAGCUUACUAAACUGCCACUGACAUUGAGGCUCGAAAGUGUGGGUAGCAAACAGGAUUAGAUACCCCUGUAGUC